RNAcentral lists this ribosomal RNA (253 nucleotides) under uncultured bacterium. RNAcentral describes it as "partial 16S ribosomal RNA". It matches the Rfam family "Bacterial small subunit ribosomal RNA", at positions 524 to 776 of the family's 1533-position model. The record is from RNAcentral.
CACGAACUGCGCAAACGUUAUUCGGAAUUACUGGGCUUAAAGAGUUCGUAGGCGGUCCUUCAAGUCGGGUGUGAAAUCCCUCGGCUCAACCGAGGAAUUGCGCCCGAUACUGUCGGACUCGAGGGAGACAGGGGUGAGCGGAACUGAUGGUGGAGCGGUGAAAUGCGUUGAUAUCAUCAGGAACACCGGUGGCGAAGGCGGCUCACUGGGUCUUCUCUGACGCUGAGGAACGAAAGCUAGGGGAGCGAACGGG